This 491-nucleotide ribosomal RNA is filed under the name uncultured Gordonia sp. RNAcentral's name for it is "bacterial SSU rRNA". It matches the Rfam family "Bacterial small subunit ribosomal RNA", at positions 392 to 893 of the family's 1533-position model. Lineage: Bacteria; Bacillati; Actinomycetota; Actinomycetes; Mycobacteriales; Gordoniaceae. The record is from RNAcentral.
CGACGCCGCGUGAGGGAUGACGGCCUUCGGGUUGUAAACCUCUUUCGCCAGGGACGAAGCGCACGUGACGGUACCUGGAGAAGAAGCACCGGCCAACUACGUGCCACCAGCCGCGGUAAUACGUAGGGUGCGAGCGUUGUCCGGAAUUACUGGGCGUAAAGAGCUCGUAGGCGGUUUGUCGCGUCGGCUGUGAAAUUCUGCAGCUUAACUGUAGGCGUGCAGGCGAUACGGGCAGACUUGAGUACUACAGGGGAGACUGGAAUUCCUGGUGUAGCGGUGAAAUGCGCAGAUAUCAGGAGGAACACCGGUGGCGAAGGCGGGUCUCUGGGUAGUUACUGACGCUGAGGAGCGAAAGCGUGGGGAGCAAACAGGAUUAGAUACCCUGGUAGUCCACGCCGUAAACGGUGGGUACUAGGUGUGGGUUCCAUUUCACGGGAUCCGUGCCGUAGCUAACGCAUUAAGUACCCCGCCUGGGGAGUACGGCCGCAAGG